GACGAACGCUGGCGGCGUGCUUAACACAUGCGAGUCGAACGGAAAGGCCCUGCUUUUGUGGGGUGCUCGAGUGGCGAACGGGUGAGUAACACGUGAGUAACCUGCCCUUGACUUUGGGAUAACUUCAGGAAACUGGGGCUAAUACCGGAUAGGAGCUCCUGCUGCAUGGUGGGGGUUGGAAAGUUUCGGCGGUUGGGGAUGGACUCGCGGCUUAUCAGCUUGUUGGUGGGGUAGUGGCUUACCAAGGCUUUGACGGGUAGCCGGCCUGAGAGGGUGACCGGCCACAUUGGGACUGAGAUACGGCCCAGACUCCUACGGGAGGCAGCAGUGGGGAAUAUUGCACAAUGGGCGAAGCCUGAUGCAGCAACGCCGCGUGCGGGAUGACGGCCUUCGGGUUGUAAACCGCUUUCGCCUGUGACGAAGCGUGAGUGACGGUAAUGGGUAAAGAAGCACCGGCUAACUACGUG
This 467-nucleotide ribosomal RNA is filed under the name uncultured bacterium. Its description in RNAcentral is "partial 16S ribosomal RNA". It matches the Rfam family "Bacterial small subunit ribosomal RNA", at positions 28 to 507 of the family's 1533-position model. The record is from RNAcentral.